Molecule: ribosomal RNA, 292 nt
Filed under: uncultured Acidobacteriota bacterium
Lineage: Bacteria; Pseudomonadati; Acidobacteriota
Description: uncultured Acidobacteria bacterium partial 16S ribosomal RNA
Source: RNAcentral
GGACUACCGGGGUUUCUAAUCCCGUUUGCUCCCCUAGCUUUCGCGCCUCAGCGUCAGUGUCGGUCCAGGAAGCCGCCUUCGCCACCGGUGUUCCUCCGGAUAUCUACGCAUUUCACCGCUACACCCGGAAUUCCGCUUCCCUCUCCCGAUCUCAAGCCAAGCAGUUUCCCGUGCGAUUCCUCAGUUGAGCCGAGGGAUUUCACACAGGACUUGCAAGACCGCCUACGCGCCCUUUACGCCCAGUAAUUCCGAACAACGCUUGCCACCUCUGUAUUACCGCGGCUGCUGGCAC